Molecule: small nuclear RNA, 134 nt
Filed under: Mustela putorius furo (domestic ferret)
Lineage: Eukaryota; Metazoa; Chordata; Mammalia; Carnivora; Mustelidae
Description: U4 spliceosomal RNA
Rfam family: U4 spliceosomal RNA
About the family: U4 small nuclear RNA (U4 snRNA) is a component of the major U2-dependent spliceosome. The structure of U4 snRNA from yeast and human has been reported.
Source: Rfam by way of RNAcentral
AGCUUUGUGCAGUGGCAGUAUCGUAGCCAAUGAGGUUUAUCCGAGGCGCGAUUAUUGCUAAUUGAAAAAAAAAAAAAAGAAUCAAGAUUGUUCAGAGAUGUUAUAAAAUAUGAAAUUAUAAUAAUUAUUAAAUU